CCUCCUGAAUCAAUAUCCACAAGGUUAUAAUCCACAGUAAGAGCAUUAGCAUGGUCCUUGGCAAACACACACCAUCAGUUCCGCCAUUCUCACCUGGCUUUCAUUUCCACGUCCCGCUUUCUCUCACCUAGUCACCUGUUCUUUUUAUUGCUUCCUAAGACCACACCCUUCUCUUCAUCUCUUUUUUUACUUCCGUUAAUUAAAACACCACGGAAUGGAACGGACUCCGCUUCUGUGUCAAUAAAUGGUAAAAUGGUAAAUGGCGCACUUAUAUAGCACUUUACAGUGUGUCUCAUUCACCCAUUCACACACCAAUGGUAGCAGAGCUGCCAUGCAAGGCGCUAACUUGCCAUCGGGAGCAACUUGGGGUUCAGUGUCUUGCCCAAGGACACUUCAGCAUGUGGAGUCCUGCUGGCCGGGAAUCAAACAGCCAACCCUACGAUUAGUGGACAACCCGCUCUACCACCUGAUCCACAGCCGCCCCUGUCACUGUGCAGCUAUCUGUUACAAAUGAAUGGGAAAAUAUCCUUGGCAUCCAUGCAAUUCAAGGAUGUUGUAAUUGGUAAGUUGUGAUGUCAAAAGUAUCUGUACCAAGUUGAUACUAAAAUUUUAAAAAGAAUGAUACGAUAAGUUUUUUUUUCAGUAUCGGCUGUACCAAGUAUUCUUCUGCUUUCUGAUUGACUUUCUUUUGUAAGUAUUAAUUAACCGUGAUUUCCACUCAGCCAUCUUACUGGAAUUUGUGUAGGUUAGGAAUAAGACUGAGGAUGGAGUUGUACAGUUUUGUAGUGUGUAUCGUUUGUAAAUAUUGUUAACUUCUUUACCAUAGCCAUGCUGAGGGAGGCGUUGACUAAAUUAGAGAUGGUGCUGGACCAACAAACCACUGAGAUUGCUUCAACUACAGGUGUUCCAAGUGCAGUCUUUGGAUAUUUAUGAAGAUUUACUGCCCUGCAAGAUCUUCCUCAACUGCGUAGUCUGGAGCGAAGGAUGCAACAGAGCCCAGAUUACAAGCAAAAACUGGGCGGAUGUGCUCGACUGCACCUGGCGCAUACUGAAGAGGGUGAUUGCUAACUCCCUGGCAAAGAACCUCAGUUGGAGGGGAGUCGAUGGAAAGACUUCACUGGCCACUCUCAAACUUGGAGAGGUCAUGAUUGAAACCUCUUCACGGCUAAAGCUGCAGAGAUGGAGGUUGAGGGGACCAUGAAGAGGUGGCUCCAGCUGGCAUCAGAUCGAGAGUGCGGGCGCAAGAGAAGACUUUUGAAAACUUUUGCAAAAAGAAGGUAUUUAGAGUGUUUUAACUGUGGACUCUUUGUUAAUUUGUUAAAAUGUACAUAUUGUAGUCUAUUUUUGAUUGUUUAUAAAAGUCCUUGCUGUUUUUAAAUGGUUGAAUUUGUGUGUGUGUGUGUGUGUGUGUGUGUGUGUGUGUGUGUGUGUGUUGGUAGCUGGGUGGGUAUACAGUUGCGGUCGGAAGUUUACAUACCACUUGCAGUAUCUACAAAAUCUUAAUACUCUUUACAAAAUAAGAUUGAUCAUAAAAAUCCUAAGUUUCUAAUUUAGUACCGCCAUGAAUAAGCUAUUUCACAUAAUUCAAUUCAAUUCAAUUUUAUUUGUAUAGCGCUUUUUACAAUAGACAUUGUCUCAAAGCAGCUUUACAGAAAUAUCAACAUGGUAUACAGAUAUUAAAGGUGCGAAUUUAUCCCAACUGAGCAAGCCACUGAGUGGCGACGGUGGCAAGGAAAAACUCCCUAAGAUGUUUUAAGAGGAAGAAACCUUGAGAGGAACCCGACUC
Long non-coding RNA from Ictalurus punctatus (channel catfish), 1786 nucleotides. RefSeq lists it as uncharacterized. Lineage: Eukaryota; Metazoa; Chordata; Actinopteri; Siluriformes; Ictaluridae. The record is from RefSeq and is a predicted model, not a curated record. The transcript has 3 exons.